RNAcentral lists this transfer RNA (68 nucleotides) under Pipistrellus pipistrellus (common pipistrelle). RNAcentral describes it as "tRNA-Val". It matches the Rfam family "tRNA". Rfam says of the family: Transfer RNA (tRNA) molecules are approximately 80 nucleotides in length. Their secondary structure includes four short double-helical elements and three loops (D, anti-codon, and T loops). Further hydrogen bonds mediate the characteristic L-shaped molecular structure. tRNAs have two regions of fundamental functional importance: the anti-codon, which is responsible for specific mRNA codon recognition, and the 3' end, to which the tRNAs corresponding amino acid is attached (by aminoacyl-tRNA synthetases). tRNAs cope with the degeneracy of the genetic code in two manners: having more than one tRNA (with a specific anti-codon) for a particular amino acid; and 'wobble' base-pairing, i.e. permitting non-standard base-pairing at the 3rd anti-codon position. Lineage: Eukaryota; Metazoa; Chordata; Mammalia; Chiroptera; Vespertilionidae. The record is from RNAcentral.
CAAAAUGUAGCUUAACCAAAGCAUUUAGUUUACACCUAAAAGAUUUCAAAUAAUAGUGAACGUUUUGA